Molecule: transfer RNA, 72 nt
Filed under: Ictidomys tridecemlineatus (thirteen-lined ground squirrel)
Lineage: Eukaryota; Metazoa; Chordata; Mammalia; Rodentia; Sciuridae
Description: Spermophilus tridecemlineatus (thirteen-lined ground squirrel) tRNA
Rfam family: tRNA
About the family: Transfer RNA (tRNA) molecules are approximately 80 nucleotides in length.
Source: Rfam by way of RNAcentral
GGGGAUGUAGCCCAGUGAUAGAGCACUUGCCUAGUUUGUUCAAGGCCCUGGGUUCAAUCCCUAGCACCCCUC